CGCGAAGAACCUUACCUGGUCUUGACAUCCACAGAACUUUCCAGAGAUGGAUUGGUGCCUUCGGGAACUGUGAGACAGGUGCUGCAUGGCUGUCGUCAGCUCGUGUUGUGAAAUGUUGGGUUAAGUCCCGCAACGAGCGCAACCCUUAUCCUUUGUUGCCAGCGAUUAGGUCGGGAACUCAAAGGAGACUGCCAGUGAUAAACUGGAGGAAGGUGGGGAUGACGUCAAGUCAUCAUGGCCCUUACGACCAGGGCUACACACGUGCUACAAUGGCGCAUACAAAGAGAAGCGACCUCGCGAGAGCAAGCGGACCUCUUAAAGUGCGUCGUAGUCCGGAUUGGAGUCUGCAACUCGACUCCAUGAAGUCGGAAUCGCUAGUAAUCGUGGAUCAGAAUGCCACGGUGAAUACGUUCCCGGGCCUUGU
Molecule: ribosomal RNA, 424 nt
Filed under: Salmonella enterica subsp. enterica serovar Braenderup
Lineage: Bacteria; Pseudomonadati; Pseudomonadota; Gammaproteobacteria; Enterobacterales; Enterobacteriaceae
Description: bacterial SSU rRNA
Rfam family: Bacterial small subunit ribosomal RNA
Source: RNAcentral